ACGGUGUAGCAGUACACCGUGGCGAAUGGCGGAGUAAUACAUAAGCAACGUGCCCUGAAGACUGGGAUAGUCAGAGGAAACUCUGGGUAAUACCAGAUGUGGCCGACACCUGGCAUCAGGAGUCGAUUAAAUGGUUUUUCGCUUCAGGAGCGGCUUAUGGCCUAUCAGGUAGUUGGUGGGGUAAUGGCCUACCAAGCCGACGACGGGUAGCGGGUCUGAGAGGAUGAUCCGCUCGAGUGGGACUGAGACACGGCCCACACACCUACGGGUGGCAGCAGUUGGGAAUCUUGCACAAUGGGGGAAACCCUGAUGCAGCGACGCCGCGUGGAGGAUGAAGGAUCUAGGUCUGUAAACUCCUUUUUCAGGGAAAGACUUAGGACGGUACCCUGAGAAUAAGGACCGGCUAACUACGUGCCAGCAGCCGCGGUAAGACGUAGGGUCCAAGCGUUGUCCGGAUUUACUGGGCGUAAAGAGCGCGUAGGCGGCUCGUUAAGUGUGAAGUGAAAUCUCCAGGGCUCAACCCGGAAACUGCUUUACAUACUGGCGAGCUGGAGUGAUGAAGAGGUUUGUGGAAUUCCUGGUGUAGCGGUGAAAUGCGUUGAUAUCAGGAGGAACACCCAUGGCGAAGGCAGCAAACUGGUCAUCAACUGACGCUGAGGCGCGAAAGCGUGGGUAGCAAACAGGAUUAGAUACCCUGGUAGUCCACGCCCUAAACGAUGGAUACUAGGCGUAAGAGGUAUCGACCCCUCUUGUGCCGCAGCUAACGCAUUAAGUAUCCCGCCUGGGGAGUACG
Molecule: ribosomal RNA, 793 nt
Filed under: uncultured bacterium
Lineage: Bacteria
Description: bacterial SSU rRNA
Rfam family: Bacterial small subunit ribosomal RNA
Source: RNAcentral